CACGUAGGGGGCAAGCGUUGUUCGGAAUCACUGGGCGUAAAGCGCACGUAGGCGGAUGUGCCAGUCAGGGGUGAAAUCCCGGAGCUCAACUUCGGAACUGCCUCUGAUACAGCACGUCUUGAGUCCGGAAGAGGUGGGUGGAAUUCCUAGUGUAGAGGUGAAAUUCGUAGAUAUUAGGAAGAACACCGGUGGCGAAGGCGGCCCACUGGUCCGGUACUGACGCUGAGGUGCGAAAGCGUGGGGAGCAAACAGG
Molecule: ribosomal RNA, 253 nt
Filed under: uncultured bacterium
Lineage: Bacteria
Description: partial 16S ribosomal RNA
Rfam family: Bacterial small subunit ribosomal RNA
Source: RNAcentral